CCGUAGGGUGACCUGCGGAGGGAUCAUUACCGAGUUUACAACUCCCAAACCCCUGUGAACAUACCUAUCGUUGCCUCGGCGGUGCCCGCUCCGGCGGCCCGCCAGAGGACCCCAAACUCUUGUUUUAUACAGUAUCUUCUGAGUAACACGAUUAAAUAAAUCAAAACUUUCAACAACGGAUCUCUUGGUUCUGGCAUCGAUGAAGAACGCAGCGAAAUGCGAUAAGUAAUGUGAAUUGCAGAAUUCAGUGAAUCAUCGAAUCUUUGAACGCACAUUGCGCCCGCCAGUAUUCUGGCGGGCAUGCCUGUUCGAGCGUCAUUUCAACCCUCAAGCCCCCGGGCCUGGUGUUGGGGAUCGGCGUGCCCUCGCGGCGCGCCGUCCCCGAAAUCUAGUGGCGGUCUCGCUGUAGCUUCCUCUGCGUAGUAGCACACCUCGCACUGGAAAGCAGCGCGGCCACGCCGUUAAACCCCCCACUUCUGAAAGUUUGACCUCGGAUCAGGUAGGAAUACCCGCUGAACUUAAGCAUAUCAAUAA
RNAcentral lists this ribosomal RNA (534 nucleotides) under Neonectria obtusispora. Its description in RNAcentral is "eukaryotic LSU rRNA". The stretch from base 165 to 318 matches the Rfam family "5.8S ribosomal RNA". The record is from RNAcentral. Lineage: Eukaryota; Fungi; Ascomycota; Sordariomycetes; Hypocreales; Nectriaceae.